RNAcentral lists this ribosomal RNA (253 nucleotides) under uncultured bacterium. RNAcentral's name for it is "partial 16S ribosomal RNA". It matches the Rfam family "Bacterial small subunit ribosomal RNA", at positions 524 to 776 of the family's 1533-position model. The record is from RNAcentral.
UACGGAGGAUCCGAGCGUUAUCCGGAUUUAUUGGGUUUAAAGGGUGCGUAGGCGGCCAAUUAAGUCAGGGGUGAAAUACGGUGGCUCAACCAUCGCAGUGCCUUUGAUACUGAUCGGCUUGAAUCCAUUUGAAGUGGGCGGAAUAAGACAAGUAGCGGUGAAAUGCAUAGAUAUGUCUUAGAACUCCGAUUGCGAAGGCAGCUCACUAAGCUGGCAUUGACGCUGAUGCACGAAAGCGUGGGGAUCGAACAGG